Long non-coding RNA from Zophobas morio, 272 nucleotides. RefSeq lists it as uncharacterized. The record is from RefSeq and is a predicted model, not a curated record. The transcript is spliced from 5 exons. NCBI's taxonomy places the organism in Eukaryota, Metazoa, Arthropoda, Insecta, Coleoptera, Tenebrionidae.
AGAUUAUAUGAAUUAUACUUUAAAGAUUCUGAAGAUUUAAAUAAUUACGUUAAAGAAAAUAUAAUUUUGGGGAAAACAAGCGAACUUUCGAAUACUAAAAGUGAUCGGAAAUGCAAUCUUGGAGGAGGAGCGUUAAGCCACGAGGAAAUUUCCAGUGUUCAGCCGGAUCCCGAACUUUUUAGAACUUCGCUUUCCCGAACGUUAACUCUUAAAGAGCAGAAAGAAGUAAAAGAAUAUCUUAAUAAACUUCCAGCUGGAUUUAUACAGAACCA